CCUACGGGUGGCUGCAGUCGAGAAUCUUCGUCAAUGGGCGAAAGCCUGAACGAGCGACGCCGCGUGCGGGAUGAAGGCCCUUGGGUUGUAAACCGCUGUCGAGGGGGAUGAAGGCUUGAAGGUACUCCUUCAAGUUUGACAGAGCCCUGGAGGAAGCACGGGCUAAGUUCGUGCCAGCAGCCGCGGUAAUACGAACUGUGCGAACGUUAUUCGGAAUCACUGGGCUUACAGGGUGCGUAGGCGGCUUUUCAAGUCAGGUGUGAAAGCCCCCGGCUCAACCGGGGAACUGCGCUUGAAACUGAAAGGCUCGAGUCAGCUAGAGGUACACGGAACUUCCAGUGGAGCGGUGAAAUGUGUUGAUAUUGGAAGGAACACCGGAGGCGAAAGCGGUGUACUGGGGCUGGUCUGACGCUGAGGCACGAAAGCCAGGGGAGCGAACG
Molecule: ribosomal RNA, 440 nt
Filed under: uncultured bacterium
Lineage: Bacteria
Description: bacterial SSU rRNA
Rfam family: Bacterial small subunit ribosomal RNA
Source: RNAcentral